GUGUCAGCCGCCGCGGUAAUACGUAGGGCGCAAGCGUUGUCCGGAAUUAUUGGGCGUAAAGAGCUCGUAGGCGGUUUGUCGCGUCUGCUGUGAAAGCCCGGGGCUUAACCCCGGGUGUGCAGUGGGUACGGGCAGACUUGAGUGCAGUAGGGGAGACUGGAAUUCCUGGUGUAGCGGUGAAAUGCGCAGAUACCAGGAGGAACACCGAUGGCGAAGGCAGGUCUCUGGGCUGUUACUGGCGCUGAGGAGCGAAAGCAUGGGGAGCGAACAGGAUUAGAUACCCCCGUAGUCC
RNAcentral lists this ribosomal RNA (292 nucleotides) under uncultured prokaryote. Its description in RNAcentral is "partial 16S ribosomal RNA". It matches the Rfam family "Bacterial small subunit ribosomal RNA", at positions 505 to 796 of the family's 1533-position model. The record is from RNAcentral.